This is a non-coding RNA of Pelobates cultripes (western spadefoot toad), 157 nucleotides long. Lineage: Eukaryota; Metazoa; Chordata; Amphibia; Anura; Pelobatidae. The record is from the annotation of a GenBank genome assembly.
GCAGACACAUUCCAGCCAAUCAGCAGCAGACCCUCCCUCCCAGACCCUCCCACCUCCUGGACAGCAUCCAUUGUGAAGCUGCAUUCUUAGUGAGCUGUCCAGGAGGUGGGAGGGUCUGGGAGGGAGGGUCUGCUGCUGAUUGGCUGAAAUGUGUCUG